UCCUCACACUUUUAGGUAAUUUCCCGGGGGGGGCUACCAUGCAGUCGAGCGGAACGAGUUAUCUGAACCUUCGGGGAACGAUAACGGCGUCGAGCGGCGGACGGGUGAGUAAUGCCUAGGAAAUUGCCCUGAUGUGGGGGAUAACCAUUGGAAACGAUGGCUAAUACCGCAUAAUACCUACGGGUCAAAGAGGGGGACCUUCGGGCCUCUCGCGUCAGGAUAUGCCUAGGUGGGAUUAGCUAGUUGGUGAGGUAAUGGCUCACCAAGGCGACGAUCCCUAGCUGGUCUGAGAGGAUGAUCAGCCACACUGGAACUGAGACACGGUCCAGACUCCUACGGGAGGCAGCAGUGGGGAAUAUUGCACAAUGGGCGCAAGCCUGAUGCAGCCAUGCCGCGUGUGUGAAGAAGGCCUUCGGGUUGUAAAGCACUUUCAGUCGUGAGGAAGGUAGUGUAGUUAAUAGCUGCAUUAUUUGACGUUAGCGACAGAAGAAGCACCGGCUAACUCCGUGCCAGCAGCCGCGGUAAUACGGAGGGUGCGAGCGUUAAUCGGAAUUACUGGGCGUAAAGCGCAUGCAGGUGGUUUGUUAAGUCAGAUGUGAAAGCCCGGGGCUCAACCUCGGAAUAGCAUUUGAAACUGGCAGACUAGAGUACUGUAGAGGGGGGUAGAAUUUCAGGUGUAGCGGUGAAAUGCGUAGAGAUCUGAAGGAAUACCGGUGGCGAAGGCGGCCCCCUGGACAGAUACUGACACUCAGAUGCGAAAGCGUGGGGAGCAAACAGGAUUAGAUACCCUGGUAGUCCACGCCGUAAACGAUGUCUACUUGGAGGUUGUGGCCCUUGAGCCGUGGCUUUCGGAGCUAACGCGUUUAAGUAGACCGCCCUGGGGAGUACGGGUCGCAAGAUUAAAACUCAAAUGAAUUUGACCGGGGCCCGCACAAGCGGUGGAGCAUGUGGUUAAUUUCGAUGCCAACGCGAAGAACCUUUACCCUACUCUUGAACAUUCAGAGGACAUUUCCAGAGAUGGAUUUGGCUGCGUUCGGUACUCUGAAACGGUGCCUUGCAUGUCUGUCGUCAGCUCGGUUAUGGGAAAUGUAGGUUAAGUCCGCAACGAAGCGCCAAUCCC
RNAcentral lists this ribosomal RNA (1120 nucleotides) under Vibrio sp. Its description in RNAcentral is "bacterial SSU rRNA". It matches the Rfam family "Bacterial small subunit ribosomal RNA", at positions 1 to 1106 of the family's 1533-position model. Lineage: Bacteria; Pseudomonadati; Pseudomonadota; Gammaproteobacteria; Vibrionales; Vibrionaceae. The record is from RNAcentral.